AGAGUUUGAUCCUGGCUCAGGACGAACGCUGGCGGCGUGCUUAACACAUGCAAGUCGAGCGAUGAAGUUUCUUCGGAAAUGGAUUAGCGGCGAACGGGUGAGGAACACGUGAAGAAUCUGCCCUCCACUUUGGGAUAACACCGGGAAACCGGUGCUAAUACCGAAUAUUGAAACAUAAGUGGCAUCACUGAGUUUUGAAAGAAUUUCGGUGGAGGAUGACUUCGCGGCCUAUCAGCUAGUUGGUGAGGUAAUGGCUCACCAAGGCAACGACGGGUAGCCGGCCUGAGAGGGCGACCGGCCACACUGGGACUGAGACACGGCCCAGACUCCUACGGGAGGCAGCAGUGGGGAAUAUUGGGCAAUGGAGGAAACUCUGACCCAGCGACGCCGCGUGCGGGAUGAAGGCCUUCGGGUUGUAAACCGCUUUCAGUAGGGAAGAAGCGAAAGUGACGGUACCUACAAAAGAAGCACCGGCUAACUAUGUGCCAGCAGCCGCGGUAAUACAUAGGGUGCAAGCGUUGUCCGGAAUUAUUGGGCGUAAAGAGCUCGUAGUCGUUUGUUACGUCGGAUGUGAAAACCUGAGGCUCAACCUCAGCCUGCAUUCGAUACGGGCAAACUAGAGUUUGGUAGGGGAGACUGGAAUUCCUGGUGUAGCGGUGGA
RNAcentral lists this ribosomal RNA (661 nucleotides) under uncultured Actinomycetes bacterium. RNAcentral describes it as "bacterial SSU rRNA". It matches the Rfam family "Bacterial small subunit ribosomal RNA", at positions 8 to 685 of the family's 1533-position model. The record is from RNAcentral. Lineage: Bacteria; Bacillati; Actinomycetota; Actinomycetes.